UCAGGGUAUGUUAAUAGACAAGACCUAAAAAUGCAUUAAAUGUAGGUGAAGGGAAAAAUCAAGCCUUAAACCCAGGUGGGGGGAACCCACAGUAAGCGGAUAACAACCACAUGAACGAAAAAAGACCCAAACAGACUAGUUCUUAAUAGUUACAAGGGUAAGAUUUAAACCUAUUAAUUAGCUUUAUUAAAGCGGCAGAUAAAUAAAAAAGAAACUUCAAAUAAACACCAAGUUAAGUGGUGCAUGUGAAAACAUAUACCCAGUGCAGUGAUAGCAAAACCCACUGUUUUACCCUAGAAAGAGCGAGG
Molecule: non-coding RNA, 308 nt
Organism: Pelobates cultripes (western spadefoot toad)
Lineage: Eukaryota; Metazoa; Chordata; Amphibia; Anura; Pelobatidae
Source: the annotation of a GenBank genome assembly